This 2619-nucleotide long non-coding RNA is filed under the name Oryzias javanicus (javanese ricefish). RNAcentral describes it as "lncRNA (ENSOJAG00000009731.1)". The record is from RNAcentral. Lineage: Eukaryota; Metazoa; Chordata; Actinopteri; Beloniformes; Adrianichthyidae.
AUGAUUGAAGCUUCUUCCUUCAUUUGGGCUCUCCUCCUUCUCACCUCUGUCUAUCAGACAUCUGACCAACGACAUAUUUCUAGUGUGGGAGAUAUUUUUGAGAGUACAGGAAAUCCAGAGGUGGAUGAUGUCCUUUCAAAGAUCCCAUUUGACAUCGGAGAUGUAACGAAUCAACAAAGCGUUAAUGUGACGACGGUAAAGAUUCAGCUAUGUACAGGAAUAAAAGAAGAGCUGGGAUCCGUGAAGAUGGAGCUUGAGCAAACAGCUCGCCGUUACAAUGAGCUGGAUGAGGAGACCUUGGGGUUGAGGCGCGAGGUCAGGCAGCUUCAAAUGAGACUGUCUACAUGCAGCUCGACCGCGUCGGCCAUCGCUGGGUCCUACCAAACCCAGCUGCAGAUAAAAAUGAACCAGCUGCUGGAAGUUAUCAACAGUGAAACAUUUCAAAUUCUGAAAAUCAUGGCUCUCACAAGGGAGGUGCAAGUUUUGCAGAAGAAAAUUCAACUUGCUUCUAAAAAUACCAAUAAAACCAGUGAGAUGAGAGCUCUGCAGAGAGAACUUCAAGAAAAGGUUGUGGAGCUGAACUCAAAGAGAGAGCGAUUCGAGAACAGCCACUCAAAUGCUGCUCUUAUUCUACAGAUAAUCUCACUGCAAAGCCAGAUCUGGGAUUUAUAUCAAACUGAGGCAAAGGGGGGAGCUGCUGUUCAGCCAGAUCCGAGCAUUCUGGCUCUACAAGAACAGCUCAACAUGAAGAUCAAGGAAUUGCAAAGCAAAGAGGAGACCAUCACAGCUAUGCUGGAGAUGAUCUCUGUGCACAGUAAGAUCACAGUGAUCCAGAAAAUGAUACGACACCUCACAGAAGAAUCCAAGAACAGGAAUGCGGCUCUCCUUUUGCAAUGGAGACAAAAAGGUGAGUUGCUGGCAAAGAAGAUUUCCCAACUGGCGGAUGAUGCAAAAAACCAAGAACUGACCAAAGAAAUUCUCAAGCUGCAGUAUGAGUUGGGUCAACUGGCCAAGCUUUUAAACGUUAAAGAGACCGUGGAAGCCCAGCUCACAGCUAAAACAGUUGAACUGGAGGUAGAGAAGUCACGGGAGGAAGCUCUGCAGAAAAAGCUGGAGCAGACAGACUAUGCUACAUCACAGCUGAUCUUCAAGAUCAUUAGCAUCAUGGAGGAGCUGAGGGAACAGCGGAUUGUGGCGCCAACAGGUGAAACCCAGGACAUUUUAACUCUCCUACAAACCUAUAAAAAAGACUAUGCUGAAGCCAAGACUGAAAUAAAGGAUCUGAAGGAAAAAUUGGAGAGGACGCAAGAGGAGUGUUCAGGGCUUGAAGAAAGACAUGAAAAGUUGAAGACGGAGCUUGAGCAGAAGAUCAUGAAACUCAACAGAACGGCGGAUUCCAAAGCAGCUCUCGUUCUAAACGUGUUAAACCUGUACGGAGAGAUAAACGCUUUGAGGGAGCAGAUCUCAAAGUCAGGUGAACCAGAAGUGCUUCUAAGUCCAGUCCUUGUUUCUCGCAGGCGCGUUGAGUGGCUUCAUUCAAGAAAAGGCAAAAUCGAUUCCAACCCACCGUCAAUAAGACACGAACUCCAAAAUCUUAAUGAUGACCCGCAGAUGCAACUGUAUCCAAUAAAGGUCCCGUUACUUGUGCCGAAUGACCUCUUUCCUCCACGGGACCAGGAUCCCAUAGAAAAGAGAAAAGAACUAAGGAGACAGUUGGAGCAGAAACAAGACGAGCUGAACUUGAAGACGGCAGAGAUUCAGAGACUGGUUUCUAACCCACAAACAAUGUUAACAAUUAUUGAUCUGCAGAAUAAAAUCUGGGAUUUUCAGAAAAAAGACACAAACUGGACAAAUGAGGAGCUUAAAGCUUUGCAAACAAAACUGGAUUCUUUGGUGGAUGGAAUAGACAGUGAUGGUGAAGAUAACACAUUUCAGGCACUAAAAAUCCUGACACUGCAGAGUCAGGUUGAGUAUCUACAGAACCAACUGUCCAACCUGAAGCUGUCGCACAACUCCACACAAACUCAACUCCAAAAUGAGCUGGCGGCAAAAGAGAAUGAACUGAAGCGUUACAUCUUUGAAAUGAUGGAGAAGGACCAGACAAAUGGAAAACUUAUUUUAGACAUUGCUGAACUCCAAAUCCAACUCAAUGAAAUCGAAAAACAAAAGGAAACGGAAGAUAAAACGAGUGCUGCAACAAUUUCCAAGCUGACGAAGCAACUGCAACUCCAAGAGGAGGAAAACAAUCAAAAUAAAGCUUUGAUUAUUACCCUGCAGAACAAGAUAAACCAGAGAGAAACGCAAUGUUCUGAAUACGAGAAGAAAAUUAAAGAUCUCCAGAAUGACAUAAAUACAAACCUUAAGGAACUCAAAGGAAAAUCUGACACCAUAAGUUCACUUGUUCUUCAAAUUUCUACGUUAAGUGUGGAAGUGGAGCAGCUGGGAAACCAACUCCAGAACUCUGUGUCCACAUCUAAAGUGGAAGAAUUAAAGGCAAUUAUAGAGGAAAAGAACAAAGAACUGGAACAAAAAGCUGAAGAACUUAAAGAAAGGAGUCCUGAAGCACAAAGACGUGAGCACAACCCAAACGAAGCACCUAAAGGGGCCAAAAUUAUCUAG